This is a long non-coding RNA of Xenia sp. Carnegie-2017, 1989 nucleotides long. RefSeq lists it as uncharacterized. The transcript is spliced from 4 exons. The record is from RefSeq and is a predicted model, not a curated record. NCBI's taxonomy places the organism in Eukaryota, Metazoa, Cnidaria, Anthozoa, Malacalcyonacea, Xeniidae.
AAUAUCUGUAAUCUGAUUGGUUGAGAGUAGCUGUGAACACACUCAAACGUUUAAUUAACAACAUCUAGUCGGGCUCAUUUUCAAAAGCGUGACUGGAAUUUUGAGCUUUCGAAAUAUACGUUCGGAAAUCGUGAUAACUUACAUUACAAUGGCUUCGGCUAAUGAAAUCGAUAUAAUAAGUGAACUACAAAAGAAACCCUUUUCUGUUCGACAGUCAGGCGAGCAAAAUAUACUCGUAAAGCAGCGGCCAAUUCCAAAUUUACAAGCGACUACAGGCAAUAGAAGCUUUCAGGAAAGUUGGUACUCGAAGAAAGAUUGGCUUUGUUGUAGCUCAGAAAAGAAUGCAUUGUUCUGUUGGCCUUGUCUUUUAUUUUGCCCUGGAUCGUCAUCUUCAUGGACGCAGACGGGAUUCAAAACAUGAAGAAUUUCCUAUCCGAUUGUAAGAAGCAUGAGAAGGCAAAAUCGCACAUGGGUGCCUACAAGACCUGGAAGACCUACGGUUUUCAGCCUCGUAUCGACUGUCUCAUGUCACAAACUAGACGUGAAGAGAUUCAGCGUCAUAACGAGGAGUAUACAGGUUGAUGAGGCAACUGAUGUUUCUACCAAAGAACAAUUGAAUGGACAAAGGGGAAAGUGUCAUUGAAAGACAGCUUGGGUUUGUUGAUGUUAGUUGUGAUAGGACUGACACUGCUUAUCAUCAGUGGUUAAGGGUAAGUUAAGUCAAUAUAAUAAUGUGAAAGAGAAAUUUAUUGGACAGACUUAUGAUGGUGCAUCUGUUAUGUCUGGUCAUCUCAAUGGUGUUCAAGCUCAAGUUCAGCAGGAUUAUCCUUAUGCUCAAUUUGUUCACUGUGCUGCCCAUAGACUAAAUCUAGUAUUAUGUCAAGCUGCAUCCUCCAUCUCACCUGUUAAGAUUUUCUUUGUUAAUAUUAGUGCUUUCUGCACCUUUACUAGCAAUUCCCCCUAAAAGAAAAGCUUUACUAUCAUCCCAUAGGCUUGAGUUUCCUAGUCCUGGUGACACAAGAUGGUAUUUAUAGGGCUCAUGUCAUCAAUGUAUUGCAUUCUAACUAUGAGAAACUGAUAGACAUAUUUGAAAAUCUUACUGAUAAUCCAAUAAAUAAGGUUACUGGUUUACUUGGCUACCUUAAUGGCUUCUUGUUUUGUUUCUUGGUACAUGUUUGUCGGAGAAUUCUUGAGCAGUCAUCCGUACUUUAUUCUAUCUUGCAAGACAAGGACACUGACUUUCAUUAUGGAAUGAGUAGGUUUGAGAGAAUAUUGUCAGGUGUACAACCUGGCUGUUGAGAAAGUGGGACCACCAGUAACCAGGUAUGACCAACGGCAUAAUUACAAACAAAUGUAUUUUGAAAUUCUUGACACAAUUGUGACUAUGCUGACUGAGCGAUUUCAGGAUAUGGAGCGUUUUAGAUUUUUGACCUUGUUAAUCCUAGGGUGUUUAAGAUGUAGGAAGGUGAAGUGCCCUCAGAAAAUAUAAAUCUUCUAAAGGAGGUUUAUGGUGAUAUGUUUGACAUACCAAUGCUAGUUAGCCAACUUUGUUUUAUUUACAGAGAUAAAGACUUUCACUGUGAUUCAUGCGAUGAAUUAUUGAAAUAUAUUUUUCAGUUCCAUUAUCAAUCUAGUAUUCCAGAAGUUAAAGAUAAAUGGGGUUUUGUCAAUUACAAGUGCUUCAGUUCAGAGGAUUUCCAUUCACAAAGACAUACUGUCAGAGAAAGAAGACGCCAACACAUUGCAUGAUGAGGUAUUCAUAUAUGGCUGAUAGCAAGCUGAUGAUGUCUUACGUCCAUGGCAUGUGAGAAUUUUUCCGGGAACUUUUUAAUGCAGUCAAUGAUGAUUGUCAUUUCAGCACGACAAUUUCAUCACAACUUUUGAUAGUUGUUAAUGACAAAUCUGAGCCUUUUUCGGUUCUUUUGUCAAAGUUUUUUUACAAGAUGUACAUAGGUAUCUAUUUAUGUAUGUGGUGUUGAGAAAAUAAAU